This 169-nucleotide ribosomal RNA is filed under the name Gymnothorax polyuranodon. Its description in RNAcentral is "partial 12S rRNA". Lineage: Eukaryota; Metazoa; Chordata; Actinopteri; Anguilliformes; Muraenidae. The record is from RNAcentral.
CACCGCGGUUAUACGAGCGGCUCAAGUUGAUUUACUACGGCGUAAAGUGUGAUUAGAGAAAAACCUAAACUAAAGCCAAACACCCCCUAUACUGUCAUACGCCAUGGGGAGCAUGAAGCCCAACAACGAAGGUGGCUUUAUAAAACUUGAACUCACGACAGCUAAGGUA